GGAAGUAAAAGUCGAACAAGGUCUCCGUAGGUGAACCUGCGGAGGGAUCAUUACAAGUGACCCCGGUCUUACCACCGGGAUGUUCAUAACCCUUUGUUGUCCGACUCUGUUGCCUCCGGGGCGACCCUGCCUUCGGGCGGGGGCUCCGGGUGGACACUUCAAACUCUUGCGUAACUUUGCAGUCUGAGUAAACUUAACUAAUAAAUUAAAACUUUUAACAACGGAUCUCUUGGUUCUG
RNAcentral lists this unclassified non-coding RNA (238 nucleotides) under plant metagenome. Its description in RNAcentral is "partial contains small subunit ribosomal RNA, internal transcribed spacer 1, and 5.8S ribosomal RNA". The stretch from base 1 to 53 matches the Rfam family "Eukaryotic small subunit ribosomal RNA", at positions 1778 to 1831 of the family's 1831-position model. The record is from RNAcentral.